UACGUAGGGUGCGAGCGUUAAUCGGAAUUACUGGGCGUAAAGCGUGCGCAGGCGGUUCGUUAUGUCCGAUGUGAAAGCCCCGAGCUCAACGUUGGGAAUGGCAUUGGAAACUGGCGGGCUGGAGUGUGGCAGAGGGGGUGGAAUUCCACGUGUAGCAGUGAAAUGCGUAGAGAUGUGGAGGAACACCGAUGGCGAAGGCAGCCCCCUGGGCCAACACUGACGCUCAGGCACGAAAGCGUGGGGAGCAAACAG
Molecule: ribosomal RNA, 252 nt
Filed under: uncultured bacterium
Lineage: Bacteria
Description: partial 16S ribosomal RNA
Rfam family: Bacterial small subunit ribosomal RNA
Source: RNAcentral